RNAcentral lists this microRNA precursor (84 nucleotides) under Bombyx mori (domestic silkworm). RNAcentral's name for it is "mir-2807 microRNA precursor family". It matches the Rfam family "mir-2807 microRNA precursor family". The record is from Rfam by way of RNAcentral. Lineage: Eukaryota; Metazoa; Arthropoda; Insecta; Lepidoptera; Bombycidae.
UUAACUCAAAUUUGUAUGCAGUUGGAACAGCGCCCCUAGCGGCAAACGUAGGCAAACGUUCCAACUCCAUACAAAUUUGAGUAA